GUCUGUAUGUAGUUAUAUGGAGUCUAACCUGCCCGUUGAAAGAGUUUGAAAGGCCGCGGUAUAUUAACUGUGCAAAGGUAGCAUAAUCAUUAGCUUUUUAAUUGGAGGCUUGUAUGAAGGGUUGGACAAAGAAAAAUCUGUCUUUAAUUUUGAGUUUGAAUUUAACUUUUAAGUGAAAAGGCUUAAAUAUUUUUAAGGGACGAUAAGACCCUAUAAAUCUUUAUAUUAAACUAUUUUAUUAAAAAAUAAUAUUUGUCUAGAUUUAAAUAAAACAUGAAAAUAUUUUGUUGGGGUGACAAGAAUAUAGAAUUAACUGUUCUUUAAUUAAACAGAUUUGUUUGUUUGUUUAGUAGAUCCUUUUUAGAGAUUAAAAGUUUAAGUUACUUUAGGGAUAACAGCGUUAUUUUUUUUGAGAGUUCAUAUCGAAAGAAGAGUUUGCGACCUCGAUGUUGAAUUAAGAUUUCUCUGCGGUGCAGUUGUUGUGGGAGGAAAGUCUGUUCGACUUUUGAAAUUUU
This 515-nucleotide ribosomal RNA is filed under the name Crosnierita urizae. RNAcentral describes it as "partial 16S ribosomal RNA". It matches the Rfam family "Bacterial large subunit ribosomal RNA", at positions 1831 to 2597 of the family's 2925-position model. Lineage: Eukaryota; Metazoa; Arthropoda; Malacostraca; Decapoda; Munididae. The record is from RNAcentral.